RNAcentral lists this ribosomal RNA (207 nucleotides) under Trichomonas vaginalis G3. Its description in RNAcentral is "5.8S ribosomal RNA". The stretch from base 1 to 137 matches the Rfam family "Eukaryotic small subunit ribosomal RNA", at positions 1671 to 1831 of the family's 1831-position model. Lineage: Eukaryota; Parabasalia; Trichomonadida; Trichomonadidae. The record is from RNAcentral.
GCCCGUCGCUCCUACCGAUUGGAUGACUCGGUGAAAUCACCGGAUGCUUACGAGCAGAAAGUGAUUAAAUCACGUUAUCUAGAGGAAGGAGAAGUCGUAACAAGGUAACGGUAGGUGAACCUGCCGUUGGAUCAGUUCUAGUUUUAAUAACUAACACCAACUUCUUUUAUUAAACAAAAACCAAUACAAAAUAAAAACUAACUUCAU